AGUGAACGCUGGCGGUAGGCCUAACACAUGCAAGUCGAACGGCAGCACAGUAAGAGCUUGCUCUUACGGGUGGCGAGUGGCGGACGGGUGAGGAAUACAUCGGAAUCUACUUUUUCGUGGGGGAUAACGUAGGGAAACUUACGCUAAUACCGCAUACGACCUACGGGUGAAAGCAGGGGAUCUUCGGACCUUGCGCGAUUGAAUGAGCCGAUGUCGGAUUAGCUAGUUGGCGGGGUAAAGGCCGACCAAGGCGACGAUCCGUAGCUGGUCUGAGAGGAUGAUCCGCCACACUGGAGCUGAGACACGGUCCAGACUCCUAAGGGAGGCAGCAGUGGGGAAUAUUGGACAAUGGGCGCAAGCCUGGUACAGCCAUACCGCGUGGGUGAAGAAGGCCUUCGGGUUGUAAAGCCCUUUUGUUGGGAAAGAAAAGCAGCAGGUUAAUACCCCGCUGUUCUGACGGUACCCAAAGAAUAAGCACCGGCUAACUUCGUG
This 492-nucleotide ribosomal RNA is filed under the name uncultured bacterium. Its description in RNAcentral is "partial 16S ribosomal RNA". It matches the Rfam family "Bacterial small subunit ribosomal RNA", at positions 29 to 507 of the family's 1533-position model. The record is from RNAcentral.